Molecule: long non-coding RNA, 486 nt
Filed under: Rattus norvegicus (Norway rat)
Lineage: Eukaryota; Metazoa; Chordata; Mammalia; Rodentia; Muridae
Description: long non-coding RNA NONRATT011814
Source: RNAcentral
AGUCCAGAGGAUGUUUCUAGAAGGCUCCUCCAUCAAGGAAAUCUGGAAAGGCAGAUUUCUCCAAAAAGAAACAACAAAGAAAGCAAAUAAACAAGAGAGGAAAAAGAGAUGCUUACAGGAAAUUAUGAGAUUAGAUUAUCACCACCCAGUAACCCGAUCUGUCAAGAUUCCUACAUUUUCAAAUGUAGGUCUUACGCUCCUCCCUACAAGGCUGACUAAUUACCCAGGGCAGCCUAGUAACUUAGCUGCAGAGAAACCAGCUGACGGCACGCUACUGCUCACGUCACCGACAAUGAGUCAAACUGAGUCAAAUCAGCCUAGUGUGGCUGCACCUGGCCCACACUGCCCCUGUAGGAAGUGGUCCUAAGGAGAGUCUCUAAUCGCACAGAAACAUCAACCAAGCACAAAUUAUACGUGGUUCCAUAAAAUAAGGGGCCUCAAGUCAAAACACAGUCUGCAGUCUUUUUCUCUUAAAAAAAAAAAAAA